RNAcentral lists this ribosomal RNA (425 nucleotides) under Cronobacter sakazakii. RNAcentral's name for it is "partial 23S ribosomal RNA". It matches the Rfam family "Bacterial large subunit ribosomal RNA", at positions 200 to 666 of the family's 2925-position model. Lineage: Bacteria; Pseudomonadati; Pseudomonadota; Gammaproteobacteria; Enterobacterales; Enterobacteriaceae. The record is from RNAcentral. RNAcentral also lists the same sequence under 1 other name.
AUCUAAGUACCCCGAGGAAAAGAAAUCAACCGAGAUUCCCCCAGUAGCGGCGAGCGAACGGGGAACAGCCCAGAGCCUGAAUCAGCUUGUGUGUCAGUGGAACGGUCUGGAAAGGCCGGCGAUACAGGGUGACAGCCCCGUACACGAAGGCACACAGGCUGUGAGCUCGAUGAGUAGGGCGGGACACGUGAUAUCCUGUCUGAAGAUGGGGGGACCAUCCUCCAAGGCUAAAUACUCCUGACUGACCGAUAGUGAACCAGUACCGUGAGGGAAAGGCGAAAAGAACCCCGGCGAGGGGAGUGAAACAGAACCUGAAACCGUGUACGUACAAGCAGUGGGAGCCUUCGUAAGAGGGUGACUGCGUACCUUUUGUAUAAUGGGUCAGCGACUUAUAUUCUGUAGCAAGGUUAACCGUAUAGGGGAGC